UUCUAUUAACUGCUGCUCCUAUCAACAAUGUUAAGCAGAAGCUGAUUGUUAAAGAAGAAGCUUCUUUAGACCACAGACCUCCUGCUGACCUACAUGACCCAACACCCCCCUACAUCAAGGAGGAACAGGAGGGAGUCUACAUCAGUCUGCCAGGAGAGCAGCUCAAUGGGAAGGAGCUUUAUCCAGACCAGAUUAAAGGCAGAGAGCUUCCAGAAGAGAAUGAUGGAGA
Long non-coding RNA from Fundulus heteroclitus (mummichog), 229 nucleotides. RefSeq lists it as uncharacterized. NCBI's taxonomy places the organism in Eukaryota, Metazoa, Chordata, Actinopteri, Cyprinodontiformes, Fundulidae. The transcript has 3 exons. The record is from RefSeq and is a predicted model, not a curated record.